CGAGGAAUCUUGGGCAAUGGGCGAAAGCCUGACCCAGCGACGCCGCGUGAGGGAUGAAGGCCUUCGGGUCGUAAACCUCUUUUGUGAGGGAAGAAGUUCUGACGGUACCUCACGAAUAAGCCACGGCUAACUACGUGCCAGCAGCCGCGGUAAUACGUAGGUGGCAAGCGUUGUCCGGAUUUACUGGGCGUAAAGGGCUUGUAGGCGGUUCGUUAAGUCCGGUGUGAAAUCUCCCGGCUCAACUGGGAGGGGGUCAUCGGAUACUGGCGGACUUGAGGUGGGCAGAGGAAAGCAGAAUUCCCGGUGUAGCGGUGAAAUGCGUAGAUAUCGGGAGGAAUACCAGUGGCGAAGGCGGCUUUCUGGGCCUAUCCUGACGCUGAGGAGCGAAAGCGUGGGGAGCAAACCGGAUUAGAUACCCGGGUAGUCCACGCCCUAAACGGUGGAUGCUAGGUGUAGGGGGUGUCGACCCCUCUGCGCCGCAGCUAACGCUUUAAGCAUCCCGCCUGGGGAGUACGGCCGC
This 520-nucleotide ribosomal RNA is filed under the name uncultured bacterium. Its description in RNAcentral is "bacterial SSU rRNA". It matches the Rfam family "Bacterial small subunit ribosomal RNA", at positions 355 to 889 of the family's 1533-position model. The record is from RNAcentral.